This is a long non-coding RNA of Oncorhynchus keta (chum salmon), 941 nucleotides long. RefSeq lists it as uncharacterized. NCBI's taxonomy places the organism in Eukaryota, Metazoa, Chordata, Actinopteri, Salmoniformes, Salmonidae. The transcript is spliced from 3 exons. The record is from RefSeq and is a predicted model, not a curated record.
UUUUCUGUCGCCAACCACCAGAACGAUUUACAACUAAAGGAGUCCAACCAAUACACUGACUCCCGAUGUUGUGUUCCAAAACUUGGGGAAAAAAACACUGGUUAGUAUAAUGUAACGCUAAUGUUAAACUCCUCUACACUUGUUGCCUAUCCAUCCAUCUACCUCACAAUGCUUAUAACUUACGUUAUGGGUGUGCCAAGGCCUGUAAAGGGGCCCUGACCAGCUAAAUUCCGCCGUUGUUUUGAGAUACUAGAUACUAUAUAUAUUAGAUACUAACCUAGCUACCGUCAACGGGUACUGGCUAACUAUAUAGUGUAACGACCCUGGGUUUAUAAACGCGGAUUUCGCGCUUUUGGGACACAGUCGAUAGCGCGCUGGACUUCAGCUAGAAGGUCGUGGGAUCGAGACCUGCUCCAUUACAAUAGUUAAAGAUUUGUAGUUAAGAACGCUGCUAACGAGUAUGAGACGCCUGCGGUCCCAGCUGUCCACCACAAACACCAGGAUCUCCGUGCCCAGGCAGUGGUGCUUCCGGUGGGGCCUCAUCCUCUGCUGGCCUACCACGUCCCACAUGGCCAACCCCAGACCCCUUGCCUCCGUCUCCAGCAUCUCUACUCGCUGUACUUGAGCGUGUAGAGCAGGGUGGACUUCCCCGAGCCGUCCAGGCCCAGCAUCACAACCUGAGCCUGCUGAGCAUGCUUAGACCCAUGCAGUCCCAUGCUCAACCCAAACACAGGUCCUGUUGUCUGGAGAAGAAGGCUGGCUUGUGUUAUUGUUGCUGCCUCAGCUCUGUGCAGCAAUGCCCUUCCCUGCCCUGCCUGCAGUUACUUUGUGCUCUGCUCUGCCAUCUCACAGUACAUCCAACUGGCCCCAAGACCGCAGACCACAUGUAACCAGCCCAGGACUUCCAGAUCCGUCACCUGCGGGAUCGUCAGAGCGCGGGG